This 68-nucleotide transfer RNA is filed under the name Marmota monax (woodchuck). RNAcentral's name for it is "tRNA.Ala". The stretch from base 5 to 65 matches the Rfam family "tRNA", at positions 6 to 65 of the family's 71-position model. Rfam says of the family: Transfer RNA (tRNA) molecules are approximately 80 nucleotides in length. Their secondary structure includes four short double-helical elements and three loops (D, anti-codon, and T loops). Further hydrogen bonds mediate the characteristic L-shaped molecular structure. tRNAs have two regions of fundamental functional importance: the anti-codon, which is responsible for specific mRNA codon recognition, and the 3' end, to which the tRNAs corresponding amino acid is attached (by aminoacyl-tRNA synthetases). tRNAs cope with the degeneracy of the genetic code in two manners: having more than one tRNA (with a specific anti-codon) for a particular amino acid; and 'wobble' base-pairing, i.e. permitting non-standard base-pairing at the 3rd anti-codon position. Lineage: Eukaryota; Metazoa; Chordata; Mammalia; Rodentia; Sciuridae. The record is from RNAcentral.
GGAUUGUAGCUCAGCGGUAGAGUACCCGCCUAGCAUGUGUGGGGCCCUGAGUUUGAUCCUCAGCACCA